Molecule: long non-coding RNA, 805 nt
Organism: Oncorhynchus keta (chum salmon)
Lineage: Eukaryota; Metazoa; Chordata; Actinopteri; Salmoniformes; Salmonidae
Exons: 4
Source: RefSeq, a predicted model, not a curated record
CCUGGUUAAAUAAAGGUGUUCUCUACUAGCCUACCUGGUUAAAUAAAGGUGUUCUCUACUAGCCUACCUGGUUAAAUAAAGGUGUUCUCUACUAGCCUACCUGGUUAAAUAAAGGUGUUCUCUACUAGCCUACCUGGUUAAAUAAAGGUGUUCUCUACUAGCCUACCUGGUUAAAUAAAGGUGUUCUCUACUAGCCUACCUGGUUAAAUAAAGGUGUUCUCUACUAGCCUACCUGGUUAAAUAAAGGUGUUCUCUACUAGCCUACCUGGUUAAAUAAAGGUGUUCUCUACUAGCCUACCUGGUUAAAUAAAGGUGUUCUCUACUAGCCUACCUGGUUAAAUAAAGGUGUUCUCUACUAGCCUACCUGGUUAAAUAAAGGUGUUCUCUACUAGCCUACCUGGUUAAAUAAAGGUGUUCUCUACUAGCCUACCUGGUUAAAUAAAGGUGUUCUCUACUAGCCUACCUGGUUAAAUAAAGGUGUUCUCUACUAGCCUACCUGGUUAAAUAAAGGUGUUCUCUACUAGCCUACCUGGUUAAAUAAAGGUGUUCUCUACUAGCCUACCUGGUUAAAUAAAGGUGAAAAUAAAAAAUAAAAAAUAGCUGCAGUGAAAUGUGUUGUUUUACAUGGCCAGCAAUAGUAGUAUGGCUCCCCUGGAGCAAUUUAGGAAAAAGCACCAGAAAAGCACAUCCAAAAAUGACACGUAACAUUCACACAAAGACAUGAAGAGGAACAGAGGAAUAAAUACAUGUAGUGUGAUUGGGGAAUGAAAACAAGGUGUGCAGGGAACAAGACAAAACAAAUGGA